GCCUCAUCAGUGGAAAAACUGCAAACAUAGACAUUAAAAAUGGAUGGAAGCAGGUGUGACUAUUGUUUAUGGUGGGUGACUACAAACAUUGCUAUAUGUCCCUGUUCUGGAGAAUGUACAUGUUGUCUUCAGGCAAGUAAUUAUCUUAAUACAUUUGAUACAGUGUCAGAAAUCCCAUAUGCAGGGUUUUUCACCAAAGUGUGAAUUGC
Non-coding RNA from Pelobates cultripes (western spadefoot toad), 209 nucleotides. NCBI's taxonomy places the organism in Eukaryota, Metazoa, Chordata, Amphibia, Anura, Pelobatidae. The record is from the annotation of a GenBank genome assembly.